GUCAGUAAUCUCACCUCUCAUGGGCUGGCUGUGAUUAGACGCCCCUGUGACUGACACCUGGGCACCAGAGCUGCCUGAUUAAGCUUGUGGGCUCCACGUGUGUUUGUUUAUUCAGCAUGUCACAGGCACAAACGCACUGCACUGAGCAUCAAGGGGAGUUAAAACCCACACAGGACCCAGGGCAGCACAUGGCUCAGUCUCCAAAGGGAGGUGCACCGAGAGGUGCUUGGACUUGAGGGAGCCAGGAGGGAGGGGAGUUGCCCUUGGUCUCAAUGAGUCUGUGGUCAGGAUCGUGAUGACCCAGUAACUUUCCUCCAAGAUCAGUGUUCUCAGGAUUAAGUCCUAACCAUCCAUCCAUCCAUCCAUCCACCCUCUCACUCUCCCUCCCACCCAUCCAUCCAUUGCUGGAACAUUGUUGAAGACCUACUAUGUGUCUGCACUCUGUGAAAGAGAGGUCCUGGCCCCUCUCAGCACAUGGAAAAGGUGGAAACCUGCAUUUGCUUCCCAAGCCUGAGGCCAGUGGGGCUGGGCUCCUGGGACACUGAAGACUUGGAAACUGAGGCACAGAAAGGCUAAGCCCCUUGUUAAAGUUCACACAGCAGGUCAGAAGUUCAAGUGAGAUCUUCUUUGGCCACCAUUAAGGGGCAGGGUUGAGCUCCUCGGGGAGAUUCAGAGAGAAACGUCUGCUUCUGUGUUUUUUCCGGCUUCUCCACGCUGCCUGCGUUCCUGGGCUCGUGGCCCCACCUCCGUCCUCAGAGCUCAGAGGCGGGUCCGGUCUGUCUCCUGCUGCGUCCCUCUGGCUCUGACUCUCCUCCUUCCUUCUUGGAUUACAAGGACUCUUGCAAUUAAAUUGGGCCCAGUAGGGAUUUCCCUUGGUCCGUGGCUAGGACUCCACGCUCCCAACGCAGGGGAUCAGGGUUUGAUGCCUGGUCAGGGAACUAGACGCCACGUGCUGCAACUAAAGAUCCCGCACGCUGCAGCAAAGAUCGAAGAUCUCAUGUGCAGCAACUAAGACCUGGCACAGCCAAAUACAGAAAUAUUUAAAGUAAAUAAAUAAAAACAGGGCCCAGUAGAUAAUCCAGGACCAUCUCCCAGCUCAAGGUGAGCUGCACAACAACCUUAAUUCUACCUGCCGCCUUAACUCCCCCUGUGACCUCACGUAUUUGCUGGUUCCAGGGAUUAGGACAUGGAUGGGGUUCAGUCGCUCAGUCGUGUCCGACUCUUUGCGACCCCAUGGACUGCAGCAUGCCAGGCCUCCCUGUCCAUCAUCAACUCCCGGAGUCCAGCCAAACCCAUGUCCACUGAGUCGGUGAUGCCAUCCAACCACCUCAUCCUCUGUUGUCCCCUUCUCCUCCUGCCUUCAGUCUUUCCCUUCAAUCUUUUUUUUUUAAUAAAACACAG
Molecule: long non-coding RNA, 1401 nt
Organism: Bos taurus (domestic cattle)
Lineage: Eukaryota; Metazoa; Chordata; Mammalia; Artiodactyla; Bovidae
Source: Ensembl